RNAcentral lists this ribosomal RNA (261 nucleotides) under Triticum aestivum (bread wheat). RNAcentral describes it as "partial small subunit ribosomal RNA". Lineage: Eukaryota; Viridiplantae; Streptophyta; Magnoliopsida; Poales; Poaceae. The record is from RNAcentral.
AUGUUGGGCGAGACCCAGCUGCCCGUGACGGCGCUGAUCGGUCGGAAGCGGCGCUGGGACAAGGACGACGCCGCCGCCAGCUACGAAGAAGCCAGCGAUGGUACCCCGAAGGAGCAAGCCCCUAUGGCUAUGGAGAUCGCGGCCAGCCCAACAACCCGCGACGAGGAGAAGCGGGAGGACGAGGAUAUGGCUGUUCCGGCCUGCAAGAUGGGUGAGCAACCCCUUACGGAAAUUGGAAGUUCGACCGUCUCGACUGUGUAG